GCGAUGUCUUUAGAGAAUAAAGCGGAGGUAGUUCGGGGAGACGAGGUGGUGCAGUGGUUGUCGUCAGCUCGUGUCGUGAGAUGGUUGGUUAACGUCCCGUAACGAGCGCAACCCCUAUUGCUAGUUACCAUCAUUAAGUUGGGGACUCUAGCGAGACUGCCAGUGAUAAACUGGAGGAAGGUGGGGAUGACGUCAAAUCAUCAUGCCCCUUAUGACCUGGGCUACAAACGUGAUACAAUGGCUGGAACAAAGGGAUGCGAAGCAGUGAUGUGGAGCGAAACCCAUAAAAACAGUCUCAGUUCGGAUUGAAGUCUGCAACUCGACUUCAUGAAGUCGGAAUCGCUAGUAAUCGCGGAUCAGAACGCCGCGGUGAAUACGUUCUCGGGGUUU
RNAcentral lists this ribosomal RNA (390 nucleotides) under uncultured Acholeplasma sp. Its description in RNAcentral is "bacterial SSU rRNA". It matches the Rfam family "Bacterial small subunit ribosomal RNA", at positions 991 to 1382 of the family's 1533-position model. The record is from RNAcentral. Lineage: Bacteria; Bacillati; Mycoplasmatota; Mollicutes; Acholeplasmatales; Acholeplasmataceae.